RNAcentral lists this ribosomal RNA (315 nucleotides) under Humboldtiana sp. OM-2006. Its description in RNAcentral is "partial 16S ribosomal RNA". The record is from RNAcentral. Lineage: Eukaryota; Metazoa; Mollusca; Gastropoda; Stylommatophora; Humboldtianidae.
CUGUCUAUUAUUAAUAUAUUUAAAUUGCUGAAGAGAGUGAAAAUACUUCUAUAACAAUAAAAAGACGAGAAGACCCUAGAAAUUUUAUAUAAAGUGUAUUAUUUUUACUAUUAUUUUGUUGGGGCAACAGAAUAACAAUUUAACCUAUUUUAGUUUUACACGAAUUUUUUAUAAGGGUAGACAAAAUUACUCUAGGGAUAACAGCAUAAUUAUUUAAUAGUUUGUGACCUCGAUGUUGGACUAAGGAAGGCUUUAUUCAGAAGAUUAAACCACAUGUUCUGUUCGAACAACGUAUCCUUACAUGAUCUGAGUUCG